Molecule: ribosomal RNA, 447 nt
Filed under: uncultured bacterium
Lineage: Bacteria
Description: bacterial SSU rRNA
Rfam family: Bacterial small subunit ribosomal RNA
Source: RNAcentral
UGGGGAAUAUUGGACAAUGGGCGAAAGCCUGAUCCAGCAAUGCCGCGUGAGUGAUGAAGGCCUUAGGGUUGUAAAGCUCUUUUACCAGGGAUGAUAAUGACAGUACCUGGAGAAUAAGCUCCGGCUAACUCCGUGCCAGCAGCCGCGGUAAUACGGAGGGAGCUAGCGUUGUUCGGAAUUACUGGGCGUAAAGCGUACGUAGGCGGUGACUCAAGUCAGAGGUGAAAGCCUGGAGCUCAACUCCAGAACUGCCUUUGAAACUAGGUCGCUAGAAUCACGGAGAGGUGAGUGGAAUUCCGAGUGUAGAGGUGAAAUUCGUAGAUAUUAGGAAGAACACCAGUGGCGAAGGCGGCUCACUGGAUCGGUACUGACGCUGAGGUGCGAAAGCGUGGGGAGCAAACAGGAUUAGAUACCCAGGUAGUCCCUGAGCGGGCUGGCAAGGCGCAU